Molecule: ribosomal RNA, 496 nt
Filed under: uncultured bacterium
Lineage: Bacteria
Description: partial 16S ribosomal RNA
Rfam family: Bacterial small subunit ribosomal RNA
Source: RNAcentral
AUGAACGCUGGCGGCGUGCCUAAUACAUGCAAGUCGAGCGAACAGACGAGGAGCUUGCUCCUCUGACGUUAGCGGCGGACGGGUGAGUAACUCGUGGAUAACCUACCUAUAAGACUGGGAUAACUUCGGGAAACCGGAGCUAAUACCGGAUAAUAUAUUGAACCGCAUGGUUCAAUAGUGAAAGACGGUUUUGCUGUCACUUAUAGAUGGAUCCGCGCCGCAUUAGCUAGUUGGUAAGGUAACGGCUUACCAAGGCAACGAUGCGUAGCCGACCUGAGAGGGUGAUCGGCCACACUGGAACUGAGACACGGUCCAGACUCCUACGGGAGGCAGCAGUAGGGAAUCUUCCGCAAUGGGCGAAAGCUUGACGGAGCAACGCCGCGUGAGUGAUGAAGGUCUUCGGAUCGUAAAACUCUGUUAUUAGGGAAGAACAAAUGUGUAAGUAACUAUGCACGUCUUGACGGUACCUAAUCAGAAAGCCACGGCUAACUACGUG